GUGCUUCCUGGGAGAGAUAACAAAGAGAAGAACCUAUAAAAGUGAGAUUGGCUACAACGACUAUGAAAUAUUGUAUCUGGACACACAAUCUAUAUGAUGGGUCCUUCUUGUCUGGAAUAAACAAACACAACAGCAAGCUCCACAGCAAAUAGGAAACCCAGAGCAAAGAACGAGACCACACAUAAAAUAAACUCUGACACCAGAAUUUACACAGAGACAACCUAAGUGAAAUAACAUCAGACAAAGAAGAGUUGAAUGGAAGGGUCACAAAAACACAGAGCUGCUCUAAGAGAAAUGCUGGCGGACAUUUACUACUGCUCCCUUGGAGGCAGGAUCUGCUGUGGGACAUGCAGACCAGGGGACAUGGUGACAAGGAGCUGCUGGAGGAGGUACGGGCACAGCUGCCACGUGGUGCCCUCCGCACAGGCAGGGACAGCUCAGCCUGGUCAGAAGCCUGUAGCCAUCAAGAGACUGAGAAACUACUGUGCAGUUACAGGAGGCUGCUGUGGACAGAAGAAAGCCAGUGAAAGUUGGGGGAUGAAAUAUAAGACUGAUUUAUUUAUUUAUUUAUUUAUUUAUUGCCUUUGUUUAUCCAAUGCUAUUAAAAUAAAUUGGCAGGUUAACUCGUUCUUUCAAAGACACUUUUGA
This 648-nucleotide long non-coding RNA is filed under the name Anas platyrhynchos platyrhynchos (common mallard). RNAcentral's name for it is "lncRNA (ENSAPLG00000025964.1)". The record is from RNAcentral. Lineage: Eukaryota; Metazoa; Chordata; Aves; Anseriformes; Anatidae.